Molecule: signal recognition particle RNA, 143 nt
Filed under: Nomascus leucogenys (northern white-cheeked gibbon)
Lineage: Eukaryota; Metazoa; Chordata; Mammalia; Primates; Hylobatidae
Description: Metazoan signal recognition particle RNA
Rfam family: Metazoan signal recognition particle RNA
About the family: The signal recognition particle (SRP) is a universally conserved ribonucleoprotein.
Source: Rfam by way of RNAcentral
GCCGGGCAUGGUGGUGCGUGCCUGUAAUCCCAGCUACUCAGGAGGCUGAGGCAGGAGAAUCUCUUGAGCCCAGGAGGCAGAGGUGGCAGUGAGCCAAGAUCGCUGCACUCCAGCCUGGGUGACAGAGCGAGACUCUGUCUCAA